This 253-nucleotide ribosomal RNA is filed under the name Eisenbergiella tayi. RNAcentral describes it as "partial 16S ribosomal RNA". It matches the Rfam family "Bacterial small subunit ribosomal RNA", at positions 524 to 776 of the family's 1533-position model. Lineage: Bacteria; Bacillati; Bacillota; Clostridia; Lachnospirales; Lachnospiraceae. The record is from RNAcentral.
UACGUAGGGGGCAAGCGUUAUCCGGAUUUACUGGGUGUAAAGGGAGCGUAGACGGCAUGGCAAGCCAGAUGUGAAAACCCAGGGCUCAACCUUGGGAUUGCAUUUGGAACUGUCAGGCUGGAGUGCAGGAGAGGUAAGCGGAAUUCCUAGUGUAGCGGUGAAAUGCGUAGAUAUUAGGAGGAACACCAGUGGCGAAGGCGGCUUACUGGACUGUAACUGACGUUGAGGCUCGAAAGCGUGGGGAGCAAACAGG